Molecule: ribosomal RNA, 721 nt
Filed under: uncultured bacterium
Lineage: Bacteria
Description: bacterial SSU rRNA
Rfam family: Bacterial small subunit ribosomal RNA
Source: RNAcentral
ACGCUGGCGGCAGGCCUAACACAUGCAAGUCGAGCGGUAGAGAGAAGCUUGCUUCUCUUGAGAGCGGCGGACGGGUGAGUAAUGCCUAGGAAUCUGCCUGGUAGUGGGGGAUAACGUUCGGAAACGGACGCUAAUACCGCAUACGUCCUACGGGAGAAAGCAGGGGACCUUCGGGCCUUGCGCUAUCAGAUGAGCCUAGGUCGGAUUAGCUAGUUGGUGAGGUAAUGGCUCACCAAGGCGACGAUCCGUAACUGGUCUGAGAGGAUGAUCAGUCACACUGGAACUGAGACACGGUCCAGACUCCUACGGGAGGCAGCAGUGGGGAAUAUUGGACAAUGGGCGAAAGCCUGAUCCAGCCAUGCCGCGUGUGUGAAGAAGGUCUUCGGAUUGUAAAGCACUUUAAGUUGGGAGGAAGGGCAUUAACCUAAUACGUUAGUGUUUUGACGUUACUGACAGAAUAAGCACCGGCUAACUCUGUGCCAGCAGCCGCGGUAAUACAGAGGGUGCAAGCGUUAAUCGGAAUUACUGGGCGUAAAGCGCGCGUAGGUGGUUUGUUAAGUUGGAUGUGAAAUCCCCGGGCUCAACCUGGGAACUCCAUUCAAAACUGACUGACUAGAGUAUGGUAGAGGGUGGUGGAAUUUCCUGUGUAGCGGUGAAAUGCGUAGAUAUAGGAAGGAACACCAGUGGCGAAGGCGACCACCUGGACUAAUACUGCACACUG